UGCCUUUGGAGUGACAAGGACAUGUUCUGAGCGAUCACUGGUCCUAGUUAGAGAGAGUUCUGGAGACCCACAGACUGAAGCAGGACUGCUCCAGCCAACCUGCAGACCUAUAGCUCUCUGGACCCACAGCAACUAGAAACAGCCCAAGGGAGUCUUCCUCCAAAUCCCUUGGGUCUUUCACUUGGGGCUGGCGGGUGCACAGCAGGGCCAGUGUGCGUCGUGGACCAGAACAGAGAGGCUGGAGUAAGGGUGUGCAAGGCCAUCAUCCGUCCGCCUCUGAGGACCUUUUUGCGUCUCUCCCGGGGCAAACAGGAGACAGAACAUUUAUGCUGCUGGAAAUGGUCCAGUAGCUGUCACAAAAGUGAUGACGAUGCAGGAGAGAGAGGCUGUUGCUGGAGUGAGGACCAUGGUUGGUGGAAGGGAGGGUCUGGUGGCCCGGAUGGUCUACCUCAGAAAAGGCAGAGUUUAUGGGCGCAGCGUGUCAGGCAAGAAAGGAUUGCGAGGCCUGCCCUGGGCACCUUUCAGUUAUCUCUGCCUUUCACUGUCAUUGUGCUUUUUACAACUUGACAAGUUGUAGAACACUUAUAAUGAAGCAAAUAAUUCCUGUCCAUCGAAAUGCAAAUGAACUAUGGCUCCUGGAAAGCAAUUUACGACCCGCCCCGUGGACAAGCUGGCUUUGCAUCUAUUUGCAUAUUCAUUUCAGCAUUCUUCAUUGUGAUUCUUUCAAUUCUCCUUUAAACCACAGGUAACAUCUUACUGGUUCCCUCAUUAAUUAGUGAGUGGAAUGAGAUCUUUGGCACAUGCUCAUUUUAUGUUUGUAUGAGAGUCAUUAUUUACCUUAAAAAAAUCCUUUUGCAAGAUGCCAACAGAUGUGAUGAAAUAAAAUUCCUAAUUGAUGGCAAGAAGAGAAAAAUUUAAAUACAAAUUUUUUCUUUGCCCUUUUGGGCCUCCUCCCUCCCCUUUAGUGUGUAUUGUGUGUCUGCACUCACCAGACCUCCUUAAGAGAGACCACUGCUUCUUUAUUUCAUCAGGGGUUAUAACUCCUUAGGAGAUAAUCUUUCUUCUUAACCUUGUAAGGGGCCGUGAUGAACCAUGACCCACUACUCACUUUGUACAUGCAGAUCUGGGAUGUGUAAACUGUCAGUAAUGAGUCCUUUGAUGUGUCACCCUUUACCUCAAAAACUUGCAUAACUGUGCUUUGACCUCGAACAGGCAGAACGGUCCUCAGAGUUUUCUGAAAGACUGUUUCCUGGCUUAUAAUCCCCACUCAGGUAGGUGCGGAUAUAAUUUUCCAUUUCUCUCUCAGAUGGACUAUUGAUGAAUUUUUUUGCCGACAGAUGGUGGAUGUCUUUGCAAACUCUCUUCUGAUGGAUUAAAUUUUCCCCUGAUACUGGCGCUCUGAGCAAAAGCAGACCCCCUCUGAAACCCUUGCCUGGGAAGCGCCUGAGUGACAGGAGGGACACACGGGUCACCUGGAGGUAUUCUGCAGGUGUGCCCAUGAGCUGAGUCUUGACCAGGCAAUGGCCCAGCCCUCCCCAGAGGGCCAGGCCCCUGGGCCUGUGUGUGUUGGAGGGAGCCUCGAUUUCUAC
This is a non-coding RNA of Vicugna pacos (alpaca), 1589 nucleotides long. Lineage: Eukaryota; Metazoa; Chordata; Mammalia; Artiodactyla; Camelidae. The record is from RefSeq and is a predicted model, not a curated record.